AUCAUGAUUUCCAGGAAGCUGGCUGUCCAUCACUGUGUAUGUAAGAUGUGUGAUAAGGAUGAUGCUUCCAAAAUACAUUUGGAUGUUUUCAGCUAAGCUGACUUCUGAGCCAUGGGUUCCUCCAGAUGUUGGCUGGACUUUGUCCUUGCAUCUCCCCAGGCUCAUCCUCAAAAUCUGCAGUUCAUAAUGGAGCGGCCGUACCGACUACUGGAAGGAGGAGAUUCUGAAGAUAGGGAGGAGCCUUCCUAUCCAAAAUACCUUUUAGACUCAAUGCAUAAAAACAGCAGGCCGCGUCCGCCUGCCGGUGGGCUUGUGAACUGGGGAAGACUUGCUUUUCCACACGAAGAGGCUGAGUCCCCGGCAGAUGAAAUGACUUGCUAGUGAGUGAUAAUGAGGAUCUUUUGACUCCAAAGCACCUGCUGCCAACUUGAAGGAGCCUUCCUAUCCAAAAUACCUUUUAGACUCAAUGCAUAAAAACAGCAGGCCGCGUCCGCCUGCCGGUGGGCUUGUGAACUGGGGAAGACUUGCUUUUCCACACGAAGAGGCUGAGUCCCCGGCAGAUGAAAUGACUUGCUAGUGAGUGAUAAUGAGGAUCUUUUGACUCCAAAGCACCUGCUGCCAACUUGAAGCCAGGGAACGGAGGCCUGCGCCGAGGCUUGCGGCCACCACUGGUCACGGGACAAGGCGAGAGACAGACUCUCCCCUGCGGCCCGGAGGGAUCAGAGCUCCGCGGACACCCCGACUUUUGCCCAGUGAGACCCAAUGUGGACUUCUGACCUAGAGGACUGGAAGAAGGACGGGGAGUCCCUGUGAUGCCCAUUUUCACACGCGAGGAAACGGAGGCUCCGAGAAGAUGGGUCCAUGGGAUUCAGGGAUGAGAGAACGAGGACCUGUACCCGGUCUGCCUGACGCCGGAGCUUCUGCGGUGAAGUCAUGCUCUUCGGGUUCCUGUGGUGCCUCCUCCCUCUCCACCCAGCAUCGCAGAAUCACUGGCUGGAGCCCUGACCUCAGAGGAAGACACGAUCACAGAGGCCACCUGUCCGGCCGGACGCUGGUGGCCCUGAGAGAGCAGGAGCCUGGCGCGGGCAGCCACCGAUCAUCUUGCAGUCGAUCCCUCGAGUGGAGCAGUCGGACUCGGAUCUGCAGCUCACAGGCAGAGAGGAGCAGGAGAGCUGGCCCGGGUCGGCUUUGGCAAAUGCACACGGCCCUUCGUCCACGGAUGAAGGAAGCCAUCCUCUGGAGUAACUUAAAUAAGCACAGCGCCUGGCCCGAGAAAGACACCGUGGGGGCCUCCUCGGACAUAUAUUUCCUCUGACUUAUGGUGAAUGUGAAACACCUAAUAUUUUAGCGGCCAGCUUCCCCAAUCCCCUGUGCCACCCGGCUUUGAGUUCAAUGCAGCUCUCUGGCAGCCCGAGAUCGCAGACUCGUGGGACAGGGUGGAAUAAACAUCAGGACGCGGUUCCAAGAUUUACUGCCCCGUACACAUUUUGGACUAAAAUCACAAGACAUUUCUCCCCACCCGCUCCCCAAGUUCAUCUACCCUGUUCCUGGGGUUUGAAAAGAUUUGAGGGCGAGGGAAGUGCCAUUAAAGCAAGUAGUGGAUUUCACAUCCUGGUGAUGUUUGUGUAGCUGCCACAUGUGGCCCAGUGUUAAGUAGCUGAACAUUACUGCUCGCAGCCGCCAAAGUCAGCCCUCACCUCCUAGGGAGGUGACUUCAAACAGCAUUUCAAGGGCGCAGAGGGGAGGAGACGAGAGGGGGUUACCGCUCAGGAUGCAGGAAUUCACUCUCCCUGUCUGUGCUUUCUGCUUGUUAGAGCCAUUCGGGAGCCGGAAGUGCAGAGGAAUUUGAAGGGUGCCUUCAGAUAAGGCGCUGGAAACCCCGAUAUUUGCAUGAGAGCUGGCGUUCUCCGAGCAGCGACGUCUUUUAAAGCAUAACUAAAGGACAAAAGCAGCCACUUGGAGUGUCUCCCGCAGCACACCGGUUCUGCUGGGGCAGGACGAGCCCGCCUGAGGAGGCUGCUCACAACGCAUGCGCAACUCGUCAGUGACAAACCCGCCCUGUGCAGAGCUGGGAGGCCUGAAUGAGGCUGGGAGAAAUAGAAGCUGGCUGGACACGCCGACCUGGGGAGCCCUCACGGAGGCUAGCCUAUUGAAUUUUUUCUUUUUUUUUUUCCUUUGCCUGGUAGACUUUCUCAGAGCUUGAAGAGUUCUUGAAGGUCUUCCAGAUAGCUUUCUGUAUUGAAAAUAAACCAAUAUACUCGUUA
Molecule: long non-coding RNA, 2264 nt
Organism: Myotis brandtii (Brandt's bat)
Lineage: Eukaryota; Metazoa; Chordata; Mammalia; Chiroptera; Vespertilionidae
Exons: 8
Source: RefSeq, a predicted model, not a curated record